GAAGAAGCCACAUGUCUGCCUGUGUCACUAAUUUCUAUUUUUCUCAGGCACAAGUCUGUCAUCAGGCUCUCUUAUCCUGAGACCUGUAACAGAUCUUCGGGGGCUGGUCCGGGAUCAGCAGUACUACGGGGGUCCGACAACUGCUGAUCCAGUAAUCCAUGAACCGUGGACCAGAGUGAUGACACGUUGCUGGAGCGAGGGGCACUGCGAGUGAGCGACUGCCAGGGUGAGAGAACCAGUCUAGUGGAAUCCAAGCCGAGAGAGUGCAACUCGACAGUCCCAACAACGUGCGGCAUGUUUGACAACGAGAGAAAGAGUUUUGUUUGGACAAUAAAGAAAGGACUACACAGCCUGACAACCGAAGAGAUCUUCCAG
Long non-coding RNA from Gasterosteus aculeatus aculeatus (three-spined stickleback), 375 nucleotides. NCBI's taxonomy places the organism in Eukaryota, Metazoa, Chordata, Actinopteri, Perciformes, Gasterosteidae. The record is from Ensembl.